RNAcentral lists this ribosomal RNA (329 nucleotides) under Enterobacter hormaechei subsp. hoffmannii. RNAcentral's name for it is "bacterial SSU rRNA". It matches the Rfam family "Bacterial small subunit ribosomal RNA", at positions 118 to 450 of the family's 1533-position model. Lineage: Bacteria; Pseudomonadati; Pseudomonadota; Gammaproteobacteria; Enterobacterales; Enterobacteriaceae. The record is from RNAcentral.
UGGGAAACUGCCUGAUGGAGGGGGAUAACUACUGGAAACGGUAGCUAAUACCGCAUAACGUCGCAAGACCAAAGAGGGGGACCUUCGGGCCUCUUGCCAUCGGAUGUGCCCAGAUGGGAUUAGCUAGUAGGUGGGGUAACGGCUCACCUAGGCGACGAUCCCUAGCUGGUCUGAGAGGAUGACCAGCCACACUGGAACUGAGACACGGUCCAGACUCCUACGGGAGGCAGCAGUGGGGAAUAUUGCACAAUGGGCGCAAGCCUGAUGCAGCCAUGCCGCGUGUAUGAAGAAGGCCUUCGGGUUGUAAAGUACUUUCAGCGGGGAGGAAG